UUAUUGGGUCUUUGACACCUGUAAUAUUGAUAAUGUUAUCAUCAUAUUUACAAGUUUUCUAGCUAAAUUUUUAAAAAACUUAACAAUUCGAUAACUUAAAUAAAAUCAAACCUUUCGAAUAAUUUAUUAAUUUAAAUAAAAAUUUUAAAUAGUACAGUAACUAUUUUAUUAACUUUUAAAAUUAAAUGAUAAAAUCUUAUUAAUAAUUUAAUUACAUUUGGUGCAAUUUUCCCUUAAAAUAAUUGAAGAAUCCAAAUGUACGUUUACAAGAUAUAACAAUAACAAGAAGAACGUGUGGCUGACUUGUAAAAUCCGAUUUCAAGUACUUGGUUCUGCUAACCAAACGAGGAGGGGAUCAGCUGUGAGUGAUGUUUGGUUGGGAGAUGAAAUCGCCACCGUUGGUUGUGAUGUUAUGAUACGUUGUUUUUAGGGGCCCCAAUCCAUUGCAGUGAGCAGCACAGUGAAGCAGACUGACACAGAGUAGUAGGUAGCUGUUGAAGUUACUGAUCAAUCACUGUGUGACAGUGAGAAGCUGUAAACAAAUAAUAUUAACUACGGGAGCUUAAAGUAGCACUCCAGCUGUUUGCCUAAAUGCCACAAUGAAUCAAAAGGUCACAAAACCCCACGUUGAGAGGUUUUCAACGAUUGGACGCUUUGAUUUACUGUCACUCCCCAUUUCCAAUCCCACCUUUUCUUCUACAGGUUCAGAGUGGGGAGUAGGGGACCAUUGUGUUAAUUUAUAAGAAAGGAGACAAAAAAACUAUUUGGUCAAGACCCAUGGCCGACCAGCGAAGAGCAGCAUCGCCACCAUGUUAGGCGGUAUCUCUAUAGUCAAUGUAACUAGUCGAUCACGAUAACUAACCCCUACAGACAUGUUAUGUUUUUUUUUUUUUAAAUUUAAAUUGGUGUUACUAA
This is a long non-coding RNA of Gossypium arboreum, 915 nucleotides long. RefSeq lists it as uncharacterized. NCBI's taxonomy places the organism in Eukaryota, Viridiplantae, Streptophyta, Magnoliopsida, Malvales, Malvaceae. The record is from RefSeq and is a predicted model, not a curated record. The transcript is spliced from 2 exons.